This 587-nucleotide ribosomal RNA is filed under the name uncultured Alphaproteobacteria bacterium. Its description in RNAcentral is "bacterial SSU rRNA". It matches the Rfam family "Bacterial small subunit ribosomal RNA", at positions 1 to 897 of the family's 1533-position model. Lineage: Bacteria; Pseudomonadati; Pseudomonadota; Alphaproteobacteria. The record is from RNAcentral.
UUGGGCCCGACGUCGCAUGCUCCCGGCCGCCAUGGCGGCCGCGGGAAUUCGAUUAGAGUUUGAUCAUGGCUCAGAGCGAACGCUGGCGGCAGGCCUAAAACAUGCAAGUCGAACGCCGUAGCAAUACGGAGUGGCAGACGGGUGAGUAACACGUGGGAACGUACCCUUUGGUUCGGAACAACACAGGGAAACUUGUGCUAAUACCGGAUAAGCCCUUACGGGGAAAGAUUUAUCGCCAAAGGAUCGGCCCGCGUCUGAUUAGCUAGUUGGUGGGGUAACGGCCCACCAAGGCUACGAUCAGUAGCUGGUCUGAGAGGAUGAUCAGCCACACUGGGACUGAGACACGGCCCAGACUCCUACGGGAGGCAGCAGUGGGGAAUAUUGCGCAAUGGGCGAAAGCCUGACGCAGCGACGCCGCGUGAGGGACGAAGGCCUUCGGGUUGUAAACCUCUUUCAGCAGGGACGAAGCGAAAGUGACGGUACCUGCAGAAGAAGCACCGGCCAACUACGUGCCAGCAGCCGCGGUAAUACGAAUCACUAGUGAAUUCGCGGCCGCCUGCAGGUCGACCAUAUGGGAGAGCUCCCAA